UGGUGUCCCUAAAGGAUGGAUGAAGUCAAGUGAGGAAGGGAGUCAGCUCUACUGUUUAGCAGGACCAAGGAAGCAAUCGAGGUACCAUCUCACACCUCCUCAUGCACCCUCCUUUCUGCCCCUACUGCAGCCAGGAAGGAGAAGUGAAGAAAAGUCUUAGCCCUUGUAAAGGUGCUGUUUGAAAGGCUCCUACCAGCCAAAACUGCAACAAUCUGGACUCCGAUGGAAUAAUGACAGCCGUGGAUGAAAACGUCAAAUGUGCUAGAGUCUAAUGAAACGAAAGCAUUCAGACAGACCCCUAGGGACGCACUGCAAACCUCUGGGCCAGCAUUGCUCAAUGCUGUCCAAGACAUCACAGUCAGAGAGAGGCUGAGAAACCAUCGCAGCUAAGAAGACAAAAGGCUACGGCAAUGAACUGCCAGGCGGUAUCCUGAUGUCACGUCAGGUCAGAAUAUGCCUGCCAGAGAGCAAUAGAGGAGAGGGCACACGAGGUGGUUCGUCCAUGUGGUUCACAUAUAAAUCUAUGAUCUGAAUCUUUA
Myodes glareolus (Bank vole) is the source of this 539-nucleotide non-coding RNA. The record is from RefSeq and is a predicted model, not a curated record. NCBI's taxonomy places the organism in Eukaryota, Metazoa, Chordata, Mammalia, Rodentia, Cricetidae.